GGUCCAAACUCAAAGUAGAGUAGUUUAGCAGAGUCAGAUGAUCCUCCGGAUCUACUCUACUUCGAAUUUGGGCCC
Haemonchus placei is the source of this 75-nucleotide non-coding RNA. NCBI's taxonomy places the organism in Eukaryota, Metazoa, Nematoda, Chromadorea, Rhabditida, Trichostrongylidae. The record is from Rfam.